Non-coding RNA from Pseudonaja textilis, 82 nucleotides. The record is from RefSeq and is a predicted model, not a curated record. Lineage: Eukaryota; Metazoa; Chordata; Lepidosauria; Squamata; Elapidae.
UUAUUUCCGUAGAUAGGGGGUUGGCAACUCGUGGCUCUAGAGCUGCAUGCGGCUCUUUCAUCCCACUUCUGUGGCUCCCUGU